GAGUUUGAUCCUGGCUCAGGACGAACGCUGGCGGUGUGCUUAACACAUGCAAGUGGUGCGACGAACCAGAGCUUGCUCUGGGGCAAAGCCGCGAACGGGUGAGUAACACGUGGGUAAUCUACCCCGAUGACUGGGACAACCCGAGGAAACUCGGGCUAAUACCGGAUGUGGUACGGAAACAUAAGUUUCUUUACUAAAGGUAGCUUCGGCUUCCGCAUUGGGAGGGGCCCGCGGCCCAUUAGCUAGUUGGUGGGGUCAAGGCCUACCAAGGCAACGAUGGGUAGCUGGUCUGAGAGGACGAUCAGCCACACUGGGACUGAGACACGGCCCAGACUCCUACGGGAGGCAGCAGUGGGAAUCUUGCGCAAUGCGUGAAAGCGUGACGCAGCAACACCGCGUGAGGGAAGACGGCCUUAGGGUUGUAAACCUCUUUCAGAUGGGACGAAGGUGGUGCGGUGAAUAGCCG
Molecule: ribosomal RNA, 466 nt
Filed under: uncultured bacterium
Lineage: Bacteria
Description: bacterial SSU rRNA
Rfam family: Bacterial small subunit ribosomal RNA
Source: RNAcentral